This 403-nucleotide ribosomal RNA is filed under the name uncultured bacterium. RNAcentral's name for it is "partial 16S ribosomal RNA". It matches the Rfam family "Bacterial small subunit ribosomal RNA", at positions 30 to 526 of the family's 1533-position model. The record is from RNAcentral.
AUUGAACGCUGGCGGCAGGCCUAACACAUACAAGUCGAGCGAGCGGCGGACGGGUGAGUAAUGUAUGGGGACUGCCCGAUAGCUGGGGAUACAUACUGGAAACGGUAGCUACUCCCGCAUACUAUCGGAUAACCCAUAUGGGAUUAGAUAGUAUGUGAGGUAAGGGCUCACCUAGGCGACGAUCCCUAGCUGGUCUGAGAGGAUUAUCAACCAGCUUGGUACUGAUACAAGGCCCAGACUCCUACGGAGGCAGCAGGGGGGAAUAUUGCACAAUGGGCGCAAGCCUGAUGCCGCCAGGCCGCGUGUAUGAAGAAGGCCCUAGGGGUUUAAAGUACUUUCAGGCGGGAGGCGUUACCGACAGAGUAAGCACCGGCUAACUCCGUGCCAGCAGCCGCGGUAAUAC